UUAGUCCCAAGAUACCAUUUGAAAGUACAGUAUUCAAAUAAUAGCUUCUAAAAUAUCUCCUCUCCUCCUCGUUUUUCUUUAUUAACAGCUGUAGAGUAUUUCUAAUGUGACGGGAAACAUCCUCCGUUGUUCCUCCUCUAUAUUUGACUGAAAUGAAGCUGCCCGCCUGCGCAGUGGUACCCACCUCUGCUAUUCUGGGCCCUGUGCAAUUUGGAGAGUGACAACUUACCUUAACUAUUGGAGCAUCGACCGCUUCACCAAGUUCUCCCGGGCGUUGCGGUCCCUGCUUCCUGCCACGGCUCCUGAUUCCUGCAUGGAAACCAUCACCGAUACAAAGCGGGUGGAGAGGGCGGCUUUUCAUAGAAUCGUAGCCUUCAGGACUCUGGGUUGCCACAACUCUUGUUUGAAACAAACCACCACCGUGGCAUUCCUUGCAGCUAAUGACAGGGAAGCUCAAACCUGGCAACUGCUACCUUAAAAAGUAAUAGAAAAAGGAAACAAAACCCCUGAGAAAGCUGUGCAUACGUAGCAAAGGAGUAGCAAUGGGCAUGCAAAUAACACGGUAAACUGCUUCAUAGGGCAGCCGAUUAAGUGAUAUAAAGAAAGCAUCCAGCCCGUGUGUUUCCCAGCUCCUGCAGUGCUGCAUGGACCGUGAGUGUGCGCAGGAAGGUGUCUGAACACCUUCUGUGUGCCAGCGAGGCUUGGGACGUGAUGCCUUCAGCCGUGGUUCAGCUGCUGAGGAAGGAGUGGCAGUUCUGAGCUCCCCAGCUCCGUGUUGACCUGAAGGAGAGAGGCAGAGAAACGGAGGAGGCAGGUGCUAUACGGCAUGUGGUGAAAGAGAUCGGCUGGCUUGUCGUGCAGCACAGCCCUCCUGCCCUCCCCAGUCCUGCUCCCUGUCUUGCCAGGAGUGCACUCGGAUGGAAAGUCCUCUUGCUACCUGCUUGUGCUCUCGGCACCUCUGCUGCCACUCUGGUGGCCUCCAGCAACUGCCACUGUGUUGUACGCAACAGAAACAUCGGGGUUCUGUUUCGUAUGUUCUAAACCGCAUCCAGGCACCUGAAUAAUUCCCACCUACUCCAUGGCAGGCAGGCUGACCCCCCUGCAGCUGUCAGUGCAGCACGAAGCUGCUUGCAGGAGCUCAGGUGCGCUUUUCAGUACGGCUCACACACCCGAACCUGAGCCUUGCAGAGGUGAGUGGCAGUGGGCUCUAAUUAGCACUGUUUCCCUGGAAAAUAGCUGCCAGAUUAACAUUUUUCUUUUGCCCAGGAAAUAAAACCUUCUUGGGGACGCUGAACGCGGCGGUGGGGGGCUGCGUGCAGCGGGCCUGGUGCUGGGGUGCCCCUUUAUAGGGCCGUGCCUUUGGGGGCGCUGCUUUCGGGGUCCUUUACCGCCUCCCAGCAGCCCCCUCCGUGUUGCUGGGGAUGCUCAACCCCCUGCCAAGAAACUCCACGCGCACACGGAGGAGUUUUGUUUCAUAUUUUAUUGAAUUUCAUUUAUAUUAAAUUAAAAAUAUAUUUCUGACAGAUUCAUGUAACAAAAAGGCAGAACAGUUUUCAAAUUGUUCAGCUGGGAUGAGCGCGGGUCGAUGCAAGGUGGGUGGCAGUCUACAUUUGCCUUAACGAACAGAUUAAGCUCUACCCCAAGGGCCGUGAGGAGAAACGUGGGACUGCACACGGGGGGCAAAGUAUAACCACACACAGAGAAGGUCUGCAGGCUUCUCCCCAGCCUCCAAACAAGACAGAAGGGGAGGGAAGGAAAAAAGAGAAAGAAAACAAACGAGAAACCGUGAAAAGAAGGGAAAUUAUGCUCAAAUAUGUACCUAAUAUUAACCCAGGUCAGUGUCUUAACAGUGCGUAAUCCUCAACAGCUAAAAUAUGAGAAAGGAAAGGUUAAAGUAACGUUACGCCACACACAACUGGCAUACCCUACUGUGUAAGCAAGUGCAGAAAGUCUGAACACACCACAAUAGUGCUAAAACACAGAAUCCCACAGAAUGACAAAAAUGGUAUUUCUAACCAAAACCGGAGGGUGGGAGGGGAAGAAAGAAAAGGGGAAGGAGCGCAUAAAUCACAAGCAAAUUACCUAUAUACAAAUCAACCCUAAGGACGAUUAUGUUCCAAAUAAUGGUGACCACAAGGAAAAUAAAAGCAACAUUAUCCUUAUUUACAAAUGCAACUAGCUGUGUCUUUAACAAGCUAUAAAAAUACUAUUCACAUUUUCAAAGUAACAUACAGUAGUUUUUGUAUUUUUCUGUUUUUGUUUCAGAAAGGCAGCUAACUCUGAAUGCAUCGCUUUGCACGAAAUGAGCGUCUUCCCCGACAAACCGGUGCUCCUCUUCUUCUGAAGGUGCUUCUAAGGCAGAACUACUGUGCCAUGAUCUCUUCACGCUGUUAGAACCCAGAGAACUGCCCCAAAACCAGAGUCCCCUCACCCCUACCUCCACCUCUCUCUGCAGGGCUGUGCCCCCCUGGCAGGAGUGGUGCUGCUCCUGCAACUCCUCCCAGCUGGGGCCCAGUCUCAUUGCCCUCCCAAUUUGGGAAGGUGAGCUUUGCCCUACAGAACACGUAAUUUAAGGACUGCAAGGACAGCAAACGUAUUUUGGGUAUCUCUGUUUCUACCGAGAGACUGCUUUCCCCCUCCAUUUCCCCUCUCUACCCUAGGGUUGCUACCUCUGUAGAAACUCCAGCUUACCAUGCUGGGGAAAUGUCAAAAACUGGGCAGAAGAAAAACCAAACCAAAAGGUGAAAACCAUUGUGAAUAAUGUUACAAAUGCACACCCAUUUCCAACGCUGAAAUGCUAUUAAAAACCGUGUUCUCAAUCAUCUGCAUUCUCAGUAUGCCCCACCAUGAGAAGGCGGGGACCCAGCAACUUCCUUCUGCCCCAUCUCCAAAGGAACGCUGCCUUAAGUGCAUUCAAAGUUAGCUACCCCUUACACAGCUGCUCAGUAUUAAUCGACCCAUUUAACAGCAGUACCAGCUUAUGCUACAUAUGUCGUAUUACCUUACCUCAAAGGAACGGCGUACGUAUCUACAUUUAUAAAAUACCAUUCACAGUUUAUUACUGUGGUUAUCCCAAAAGGGUUUAGUCUUCGGAGCGCUAUGGACAUAAUAGGGCGUUUUUAUCCCUAAGAGGGCUCGCAGCCUGGGCAGGGCACGGGGACAGAGGUGCUGCCAUCAGCAGGGUGCACCUUAGCCCUGGUGGUUCCAUCCACGACACUUUCGGAGCACAAUCUCAUGGCUUUAUUUUUUUUUUCUGGGGGAGGGAGGAACUGGGAUGCAUCUAUUCACACGGCCUAACACCUUACAAAUCUACAAAAUCCCUCUUUACCAAGGUCCAAAACUCUCUAAUUAUAAAGAAUAAAGUAGCGCUAACUAUUCACACUUCCUAACAGGGAUUAUGUCCUUAGCUUCCUCCUCAGCUCAGCACAGACCUCCCCCCACCAGCUGGGCUCACCGCUUCAACCUUCCUCUGUGUUUCAGAAAGCACCACUGCCAUAAGUCAGACUUAACAGAGCGCAGAGGAUCCCCUGCCUUGUCCCAGCCUACGAACAGAUACCAGCCCUGGCCGUGGGACAAAUGGAGAUGCCUUACCUUCAGCCUUACCUUAAAGUCAUCUCUGUGACAGCAGCGAGCCCCCUCACAGCGUCAGAUACUAAAUCUGAGUGGUGCAGUGUGACCAUGUGCUUCAAUAAAGUGACUCGCGUGUCCCCCUUCAUUCUUGGGCAUUUGAGAGUCGCUUCAAACCACGGAACAUUGUUAUUUAUUCCUGAUUUGAAAACCCCACUUUAAUGGUGACCGCUUCUACCUGCAUAACACUUAGCAAAAGGCCAAAAAUAAAAACGAGGGCAUGUUCUGAGCAGCUGAGGCUGCCCUCGUGGACAGCCGUGCUUCUUUGUGUGUGAGGAAAUGUAGUACUGCAGCCAUCCAGCCCCUGCCUGUGUGCAGCCCUGGCUUGUGGAAGUGGCACUGGAACCCAAAUCCUGCAUGCGUAACAACAGAUGAGCUGUUCUGUCAGCAGCAGAGAUCUACAAUCCAGAAUAAUGGAAACACUACAAGCGACAGAUCUAGAAAUGAGCAGGUGUACAGUCUUUUUUAUAUUAUUGCAAGUCAAAACAUCUCUUACAAACAAUAGCAGAAGAGAACUCCGGGUGACGCUGCCUGUUCUGAGGUGAUGGUCUUUAAGAGCCCAAGAGGUCACUGAUCACCCGAGGCUUGCUUAGUCCUUGUUAAAGCCUAUUUUCUACAGGUCCCCCUUGAGCUAAAGAGCCUUCAAAAGAGAUGAACACCUACCUGAGCUCGCACCCAGCUCUCGGCUGGCAAUAAGCACUGGAUCCCCUCUGCGUGCACGGGCCCCAGCACCAAUAACACAGCAGCCCUGCACGCGCCAUUUCGGGGCUCCUCCUCACUGUCCCAGAGGACCACACGAAAUGAGCUCAUUGCAUACGGUUCCUGCACUCUGGACUGCAUUUCCACCAAGUGGUGGGAUCCAGGGUCAGUGCAACCAUUUUUUGUUUCGUAGCAGGAGAAACAUCUCUGAG
Long non-coding RNA from Lagopus muta (rock ptarmigan), 4538 nucleotides. RefSeq lists it as uncharacterized. The transcript has 4 exons. The record is from RefSeq and is a predicted model, not a curated record. NCBI's taxonomy places the organism in Eukaryota, Metazoa, Chordata, Aves, Galliformes, Phasianidae.